Molecule: ribosomal RNA, 1396 nt
Filed under: metagenome
Description: bacterial SSU rRNA
Rfam family: Bacterial small subunit ribosomal RNA
Source: RNAcentral
AGAGUUUGAUCCUGGCUCAGGAUGAACGCUAGCGGCAGGCUUAAUACAUGCAAGUCGAGGGGUAACAGGGAAGCUUGCUUCCGCUGACGACCGGCGCACGGGUGCGUAACACGUAUGCAACCUACCUUUAACUGAGGAAUAGCCCCGAGAAAUCGGGAUUAAUACCUCAUAAUAUUCAUCUUUCGCAUGUCUGAUGAAUUAAAACUCCGGUGGUUAAAGAUGGGCAUGCGCGACAUUAGUUAGUUGGUGAGGUAACGGCUCACCAAGACCGCGAUGUCUAGGGGUUCUGAGAGGAAUAUCCCCCACACUGGUACUGAGACACGGACCAGACUCCUACGGGAGGCAGCAGUAAGGAAUAUUGGUCAAUGGGCGAAAGCCUGAACCAGCCAUGCCGCGUGCAGGAUGAAGGCCCUAUGGGUUGUAAACUGCUUUUAUAUGGGAAGAAACUUUUGUACGUGUACAGAACUGACGGUACCAUACGAAUAAGGACCGGCUAACUCCGUGCCAGCAGCCGCGGUAAUACGGAGGGUCCAAGCGUUAUCCGGAUUCAUUGGGUUUAAAGGGUGCGCAGGCGGACCGAUAAGUCAGUGGUGAAAUCCUACAGCUCAACUGUAGAACUGCCAUUGAUACUGUCGAUCUUGAGUAUAGUUGAAGUGGGCGGAAUGUAUCAUGUAGCGGUGAAAUGCAUAGAUAUGAUACAGAACUCCGAUAGCGAAGGCAGCUCACUAACCUAUAACUGACGCUCAGGCACGAAAGCGUGGGGAGCAAACAGGAUUAGAUACCCUGGUAGUCCACGCCGUAAACGAUUAUCACUCGUUGUUGGCGAUACACAGUCAGCGACUGAACGAAAGUAUUAAGUGAUCCACCUGGGAAGUACGAUCGCAAGGUUGAAACUCAAAGGAAUUGACGGGGGCCCGCACAAGCGGAGGAGCAUGUGGUUUAAUUCGAUGAUACGCGAGGAACCUUACCUGGGCUUAAAUGUAUAAUGACCGACUGGGAAACCAGUCUUCUCUUCGGAGCAUUUUACAAGGUGCUGCAUGGUUGUCGUCAGCUCGUGCCGUGAGGUGUCGGGUUAAGUCCCAUAACGAGCGCAACCCCUAUUCUUAGUUGCCAUCAGAUAAUGCUGGGGACUCUAAGGAAACUGCCUACGCAAGUAGUGAGGAAGGUGGGGAUGACGUCAAAUCAGCACGGCCCUUAUGUCCAGGGCUACACACGUGCUACAAUGGUCGGUACAGAGGGUCGCUACCUCGCGAGGGGGAGCGAAUCCCAAAAAGCCGGUCUCAGUUCGGAUUGCAGUCUGCAACUCGACUGCAUGAAGUCGGAAUCGCUAGUAAUCGUGGAUCAGCACGCCACGGUGAAUACGUUCCCGGGCCUUGUACACACCGCCCGUCACACC